GUAGGGAAUAUUGGGCAAUGGAUGCAAGUCUGACCCAGCCAUCCCGCGUGCCGGAAGAAGGCCCUCAGGGUUGUAAACGGCUUUUGACGGUGAAGAAUCGACAGGAUGCGUCCUGUUUUGACGGUAGCCGUUGAAUAAGCACCGGCUAACUCCGUGCCAGCCGCCGCGGUAAUACGGAGGGUGCGAGCGUUGUCCGGAUUUAUUGGGUUUAAAGGGUGCGUCGGCUGGCAGGUAAGUCAGCGGGGAAAAGCUGUCGCUUAACGAUAGUCUUGCCGCAGAUAAUUCAUUUCUUGGAUGAGGAGGAGGCCACUGGAACGGAUGGUGUAGCGGUGAAAUGCAUAGAUAUCAUCCAGAACACCGAUUGCGAAUGCAGGUGGCUGUACCUUAAUCGACGCUGAUGCACGAAAGCAUGGGGAGCAAACAGGAUUAGAAACCCUAGUAGUCC
Molecule: ribosomal RNA, 445 nt
Filed under: uncultured bacterium
Lineage: Bacteria
Description: partial 16S ribosomal RNA
Rfam family: Bacterial small subunit ribosomal RNA
Source: RNAcentral